GACGAACGCUGGCGGCGUGCCUAAUACAUGCAAGUAGAACGCUGAAGAGAGGAGCUUGCUCUUCUUGGAUGAGUUGCGAACGGGUGAGUAACGCGUAGGUAACCUGCCUUGUAGCGGGGGAUAACUAUUGGAAACGAUAGCUAAUACCGCAUAACAAUAGGUGACACAUGUCAUUUAUUUGAAAGGGGCAAUUGCUCCACUACAAGAUGGACCUGCGUUGUAUUAGCUAGUAGGUGAGGUAACGGCUCACCUAGGCGACGAUACAUAGCCGACCUGAGAGGGUGAUCGGCCACACUGGGACGGGGACACGGCCCAGAAUCCUACGGGAGGCAGCAGUAGGGGAUCUUCGGCAAUGGGGGCAACCCUGAACGAGCAACGCCGCGUGAGUGAAGAAGGUUGUCGGAUCGUAAAGCUCUGUUGUAAGUCAAGAACGAGUGUGAGAGUGGAACGUUCACACUGUGACGGUAGCUUACCAGAAAGGGACGGCUAACUACGUG
Molecule: ribosomal RNA, 497 nt
Filed under: uncultured bacterium
Lineage: Bacteria
Description: partial 16S ribosomal RNA
Rfam family: Bacterial small subunit ribosomal RNA
Source: RNAcentral